Molecule: long non-coding RNA, 967 nt
Filed under: Monodelphis domestica (gray short-tailed opossum)
Lineage: Eukaryota; Metazoa; Chordata; Mammalia; Didelphimorphia; Didelphidae
Description: lncRNA (ENSMODG00000046861.1)
Source: RNAcentral
UUAUUUCCCCCUCCCUGCUCCCCUAUAUAGCCUAGCUUCUCUUCCUAAUGGAAUCCACUAGGAGGUUAUUAUGCCAUGUUUAUGACAUCACAUUUCUCUGUCACAGCACACAGAAGAGCACUUCUCUCAGGACCCAGGAAUUGAGGACUCUGGGUUCAAAUUUCUUCUUAGCUACUUACUACAAAGGGCCAAGCACUGAAAUGCUGAAUGAAUGACUUUUUCCCCCUUUUCCCCUAAAUAUCUUAAAAGAAGAGCCAGUGAAGCCCAAAAAUCACAAUAAGCAAAGCUACUUGGGAAUCGGUUUCUCAAGUUUUUCUGAACAUCCUAGGAUUUUGAGGAAGAUUUGCAGAACCCAGGCCUCCACAUUCAGGGUUACCUAAUACUGAUCGAAGUGAUAGGAGGAUGUGUUAUGAAAAUUGUAAUAACAAUACAAUAUAUUUCUUGAGUGAAAACACUCCAGUUAUAACAAGAGGAUAUUCCAUUUGUUGGAAGAUGUGCUCCAAAUGGCAAAGGAUGUCACCCUUCAGAGGUCCUUAUGAUCCACUGAAGUUCUUUCUCUGGAAGUGGAUGGCAGUCCCUAUUAAUGCCUUUCAGAAUUGUCCAAGAUCAUCGCAUUGCUGUGAGUAGCGUUUUUUAUAAUCAUUGCCCAAUAUUGUUGUUAUUGUGUACAAUGUUGUCCUAGUUCUCUUAUUCACUCUGCAUCAGUUCCUGCAGAUCUUUCCAGCUUUUUCUGAAAUCAUAUUGCUUAUCAUUUCUUAUAACACAAUACUAUUCCAUCACCAACAGCCAUUCCCCAAUUGAUGGACAUUCCCUCAUUUUCUAAUUCUUUGCCACCACAAAAAGAGAAUCUAUAAAUAUUUUUGUUACAAGUAGGUUUUUUUACCCUUUUUAUUAUCUCUUUGAGAUCAUACCCAUAGUGGCAUUAUUGUACAACAGAUAUGUACAGCUUUAUAGGCCUUUGUAUAUA